CAAAUAUAAAUUCCUAUUUACCAACGAAGAGAGAUUUGAUCCAGGGAAACAAACACAAUUACAGAUCACUAAAGGUGGUUUCAAAUGCGUAAUUGCCGAGUGAUCUCAAGAAAUAUAGAGGGCACUGUGCAUUAUCUAAGUGCGAGAUUAUAAAAAUAUUGAUGAAUGGAAUGAACAUAUAUCUCAGGUAGUACAUCACCUGUCAUGCCUAUUUACACGAUUGUGGCUCAAAAAAACCACAAACUUAACACUAUAGUACAGUCUUGCGACCCAUAUCUCCUUCCUUUUUGAUUCUUUAUUCACUUGGUGAGACAGCUAUGUCAAUACAUGAAAGAUAAUUUCAGCUGCGGCGCCAUCAAUUCGCGCCAGGUCAUGUAAUGUCUCUGCAAGGCAUCUGUAGAACAAAAACAUCAUAUCCACCUCAGGGUCACGGAAAAGCAUGUUAUGAGCUGGAUAGCCAUCUGUGGAACUUCUGUACUCUUUUCGAAAUAUUAACCUGGUCAUGGCAUGAACUGCUCUGUUGUAAAGUUUUCCUUUUCCUUUUGGUUCGAAACAAAAAAUCUUCUGUAUCUAAAACAUAGGAUACUUUGGAGGAAUUGCAUGCAAUCUUGCACUCUAGACCAUUAAAAACUUGAAAUCCUUCUGUGGCCUCGCAUUCAUCACAACUCACACAUCUGUUUUUAUUCCUUUUCAGGAAU
RNAcentral lists this unclassified non-coding RNA (698 nucleotides) under Hevea brasiliensis (rubber tree). Lineage: Eukaryota; Viridiplantae; Streptophyta; Magnoliopsida; Malpighiales; Euphorbiaceae. The record is from RNAcentral.